AGUCGCGGCGAUAGCACGUUGAAUACAUCAGUUUCCAAUAGAUUACGAAGUUAAGCAACGUCCCGCGUGGUUAGUAUCCGGAUGGGUGACCAUCUGGGCAAUCGUGUGUUGUUGACUU
Molecule: ribosomal RNA, 118 nt
Filed under: Diaphorina citri (Asian citrus psyllid)
Lineage: Eukaryota; Metazoa; Arthropoda; Insecta; Hemiptera; Psyllidae
Source: RNAcentral